Molecule: ribosomal RNA, 500 nt
Filed under: Xanthomonas axonopodis
Lineage: Bacteria; Pseudomonadati; Pseudomonadota; Gammaproteobacteria; Lysobacterales; Lysobacteraceae
Description: bacterial SSU rRNA
Rfam family: Bacterial small subunit ribosomal RNA
Source: RNAcentral
GGCUUGUCGUCAGCUCGUGUCGUGAGAUGUUGGGUUAAGUCCCGCAACGAGCGCAACCACUUGUCAUUUAGUUGCCAGCACGUAAUGGUGGGAACUCUAAGGAGACCGGCCGGUGACAAAACCGGAGGAAGUGUGGGGAUAGACGUCAAGUCAUCAUGGCCACUUACGACCAGGGCUACACACGUACUACAAAUGGUAGGGACAGAGGGCUGCAAAACCCGCGAGGGCAAGCCAAUCCCAGAAACCCUAUCUCAGUCCGGAUUGGAGUCUGCAACUCGACUCCAUGAAGUCGGAAUCGCUAGUAAUCGCAGAUCAGCAUUGCUGCGGUGAAUACAGUUCCCAGGGCCUUGUACACACCGCCCGUCACACCAUGGGAGUUUGUUGCACCAGAAGCAGGUAGCUUAACACUUCGGGGGGGCGCUUGCCACGGUGUGGCCGAUGACUGGGGUGAAGUCGUAACAAGGUAGCCGUAUCGGAAGGUGCGGCUGGAUCACCUCCUU